AUGCUCACUUCAGCAGCACAUAUACUAAAAUUGGAAUGAUAUAGAGGAUAUUAGCAUGGCCCCUGGGGAAGGAUGACAAGCAGAUUCUUAGAGCAUUAAAUAU
This is a small nuclear RNA of Dromiciops gliroides (monito del monte), 103 nucleotides long. The record is from RefSeq and is a predicted model, not a curated record. NCBI's taxonomy places the organism in Eukaryota, Metazoa, Chordata, Mammalia, Microbiotheria, Microbiotheriidae.